This 366-nucleotide ribosomal RNA is filed under the name uncultured organism. RNAcentral's name for it is "bacterial SSU rRNA". It matches the Rfam family "Bacterial small subunit ribosomal RNA", at positions 526 to 896 of the family's 1533-position model. The record is from RNAcentral.
CGUAGGGGGCAAACGUUGUCCGGAUUUACUGGGUGUAAAGGGUGCUCAGGCGGUUUUGUAAGUCAGAAGUGAAAUCCUAGGGCUUAACUCUGGAACUGCUUUUGAUACUGCAAGGCUUGAAUAUGGAAGAGGAGGGCGGAAUUUCUGGUGUAGCAGUGAAAUGCGUAGGUAUCAGAAAGAACACCAGUGGCGAAGGCGGCCCUCUGGUCCAUUAUUGACGCUAAAGCACGAAAGCGUGGGGAGCAAACAGGAUUAGAUACCCUGGUAGUCCACGCCUUAAACGAUGAAUACUAGACGUUGGGGUUAAACUCAGUGUCGCAGCUAACGCAUUAAGUAUUCCACCUGGGGAGUACGAUCGCAAGGUUG